CCUACGGGAGACUGCAGUGAGGAAUAUUGGUCAAUGGGAGGAAUCCUGAACCAGCCAUGCCGCGUGCAGGACGACGGCUCUACGAGUUGUAAACUGCUUUUGUACCGGGGUAAAAUGCUCUACGAGUAGGGUUUUGAAAGUACGGUACGAAUAAGGAUCGACUAACUCCGUGCCAGCAGCCGCGGUAAUACGGAGGAUCCGAGCGUUAUCCGGAUUCAUUGGGUUUAAAGGGUGCGUAGGUUGUGUUAUAAGUUAGCGGUGAAAUACCGAGGCUCAACAUCGGGGCUGCCGCUGAUACUGUAGGACUAGAGAGCGGAUGCGGCAGGCGGAAUGUGUAGUGUAGCGGUGAAAUGCAUAGAUAGUACACAGAACACCGAUUGCGAAGGCAGCUUGCUAGGCCGGAUCUGACGCUGAUGCACGAAAGCGUGGGGAGCGAACAGGAUUAGAUACCCCUGUAGUC
RNAcentral lists this ribosomal RNA (460 nucleotides) under uncultured bacterium. Its description in RNAcentral is "partial 16S ribosomal RNA". It matches the Rfam family "Bacterial small subunit ribosomal RNA", at positions 338 to 795 of the family's 1533-position model. The record is from RNAcentral.